GUCAUCUUCUUACUGAUUAGCCACUUUCUUGAAGAGGAGGGCACUUUGUUCCGCUUUUAUGGGGUUGAAGGUAACAAGGCUGCCAUUAUUGCGGACAAGGGCAAACCACAAACACCUUUCAUCGCAAUCCUUGGACGGAAGGAAGACGUUUUCCAGGGGAGACUGAUAUUCUACCUAG
Lineus longissimus is the source of this 178-nucleotide long non-coding RNA. RefSeq lists it as uncharacterized. NCBI's taxonomy places the organism in Eukaryota, Metazoa, Nemertea, Pilidiophora, Heteronemertea, Lineidae. The record is from RefSeq and is a predicted model, not a curated record. The transcript has 3 exons.